GAGCCGCGCCCAGAUGUGAGGCCGGCAUCCAAGGGACAGCCCCAGGGCACAUGGGGGGCCAGCCAGGAGGGGGACGAAUCCAGUACACACCAGAAAUGAGCGGAACGAAGGUGCCCUCCAGCACUCUGACCUCACGUUACCACUCCAGACCUGCUCAUGGAGAGAAAGGGGGCAAACAGCACCAGAGACGGUGACUAUGAUCAUGGUGUGAACACCCCUUACCCCGCCCUGAGUGGCGGUGCUGUGGUAUGAAUGCCCCCUUACCCCGCCCUGAGUGGCGGUGCUGUGGUGUGAACGCCCCUUACCCCACCCUGAGUGGCGGUGCUGUGGUGUGAAUGCCCUCUUACCCCGCCCUGAGUGGCGGUGCUAUGGUGUGAACAUCCCUUACCCCACCCUGAGUGGCGGUGCUGUGGUGUGAACGCCCCUUACCCCACCCUGAGUGGUGGUGCUGUGGUGUGAACAUCCCUUACCCCAUCCUGAGUGGCGGUGCUGUGGUGUGAACGCCCCUUACCCCACCCUGAGUGGCAGCGCUGUGGUGUGAAUGCCCCCUUACCCCGCCCUGAGUGGCAGUGCUGUGGUGUGAACGCCCCUUACCCCACCCUGAGUGGCAGCGCUGUGGUGUGAAUACCCCCUUACCCCGCCCUGAGUGGCGGUGCUAUGGUGUGAACAUCCCUUACCCCAUCCUGAGUGGCGGUGCUGUGGUGUGAACGCCCCUUACUCUGCCCUGAGUGGCAGUGCUGUGGUGUGAACGCCCCUUACCCUGCCCUGAGUGGCGGUGCUGUGGUGUGAAUGCCCCUUACCCCACCCUGAGUGGCGGUGCUGUGGUGUGAACGCCCCUUACCCUGCCCUGAGUGGCGGUGCUGUGGUGUGAACGCCCCUUACCCCACCCUGAGUGGCAGUGCUGUGGUGUGAAUGCCCCUUACCCCGCCCUGAGUGGUGGUGCUGUGGUGUGAAUGCCCCCUUACCCCGCCCUGAGUGGUGGUGCUGUGGUGUGAACAUCCCUUACCCUGCCCUGAGUGGCAGUGCUGUGGUGUGAACGCCCCUUACCCUGCCCUGAGUGGCGGUGCUGUGGUGUGAAUGCCCCUUACCCCACCCUGAGUGGUGGUGCUGUGGUGUGAAUGCCCCUUACCCUGCCCUGAGUGGUGGUGCUGUGGUGUGAACAUCCCUUACCCCAUCCUGAGUGGCGGUGCUGUG
Molecule: long non-coding RNA, 1194 nt
Filed under: Oryctolagus cuniculus (rabbit)
Lineage: Eukaryota; Metazoa; Chordata; Mammalia; Lagomorpha; Leporidae
Description: lncRNA (ENSOCUG00000030245.1)
Source: RNAcentral